Molecule: long non-coding RNA, 2166 nt
Organism: Catharus ustulatus (Swainson's thrush)
Lineage: Eukaryota; Metazoa; Chordata; Aves; Passeriformes; Turdidae
Exons: 5
Source: RefSeq, a predicted model, not a curated record
UUUCCUAGUAUUUUGAAGUAGGCAAAAUAAUCCAUAGAGGAAAUUGGGGCACUAAGAAUUUCCUGGUUUCCAUCUUUUAGAGGGGAUUUCACAAACUGAACCAGAAGAGGUAUUGAAUGAGGUUGAAAAUGAUUGAGGGUCUGCACUGAAUGCAUGCCUUUAUCUGAUAAAAUCUGGCAAAACCUGCAAAACAAGGAGCAAGGAGUAAGUUGCUUGUUUCACCUUAACUCUAAACUGUAAAUUGUUUGACUGGACCAAGGCUCUUUAGUGACACCAGGAGCCGCAACAAUUAAUGUGUCUUACAAUAUCAGAGGCUUGGAGCAGGAUCUUUGACUGUUCUCAAAUGCUUGUCUUUUACACCUAGAUCUGAGUAAGAAACAGCUGAGUAUUUGUAUACUUUUUCUGCCAGAAAUGUUAUCCUGAGUCACCUUUAUGCUUGUGGACACUAGGUGGAAAAUAAGGCCUUGUCAGUGUGGUGAUUUUCUCAUUUUUCUCCUCCAGCACUGACUUCUCCCCUCUAUUCAUCAGUAGCUUUUCAGAGCACUACAGGUCAAUGUGUUAAAAGGUCAGCAUGUGUUUCACAAGCCUGUUAUGCUCUGUGUCCCUCCUCUUCUGAAGUUUAAAGAGAAACUCUGCUCCAGUCUUGUAAAAUUCAUGGAGAGGACUAAUAUUGCUGUAAUUGCAUAAUUGAGAUCAGAAACUGUCUUCGGCCCUACAUGCCAUGUCAAAAGCAUGGCAAGUGCAUGGUGACUGGCAGAGCUCAAUCAAGAAAAAUAAUCAGCAAAUGGGAAUGGGAAUUAUGUUGAAAAUAUUGUUCUUUUUUUUUUUUUUUAUAUUGCAUGAAUCUUAACAAAAUUAUCUACCUGGAAAUCCUGACUGUCAUCUGAGACUGAGAGGAAUGACUUUUCAUGCCCUUGCUUGAUGAACAGAGCAAAUUGUGUUCACUCAAACAGGAUUUCUUAUUUAGAGCUAGUGUUUGUAAUAAACCACCUUGUCUGCAUGCCAAGAGAUUGCCACAGAGAGAAACAAAUUGCUGCUGAUGACAGAGGAAAGAAGUCUUCAGAAAGCUUGUGAUGAGAUGAUGUGAGGGACUUGGCAGUCUUACAUUGGAGCAAGAUAAUUGAUUUGAGUUUGUUAUGACACUGCAACUUGUUACAACAAAGCAGCCCUGUGCAAGAGGAGACCAGGCACAUUCCCAGAAGAGUAACAAUCCAAAGUUUACACUUCCAGUGAAAUGCUGUCUGAGGAGUGCUGGAAAAAGAAAGAUACAGUGUGGGUGGGAAGAGAGAGAGAGAGACACCACAUCUUGAGAAACACCAUGACUUACCAACGCUGUGUCAAAGCUUUUCUUUCAGCUAAGGAGUCAGCAGCAGAAGAGGACCAAGGAAGGUGAAUUCCAACACCUAGCAACAUGUACAAGGUACAAGAGUGAAGUCCUGGAGCUGACCUAGGAAUAUUUGCUGUAUUUCUGCAUCAGGAGUGAGAGCCAGAGCUUUCAUUUUCCAUUUCAAAAUGGAAGAUUAAGAUCAUUGAUAAGAAGAAAAAAAGGCAGAUGUUAUCUUCUUGUCUUGUAGGAGGAUUCUUUCCCCCUCCCUCCCAAUCAACUCUAAUUCAGAGUUGAUACUUAAGGUGAAAAAAAGAGAGGAAGGAAAAAUCAAAAGAAACCAGAAUAUAUAGCCAACCUUUUUAAUUAGAGUAUAUUGUACUUCCAAACUGGAUACACUAGAAAUUGGCAAUGCAACAUAAGAUGCAAAGAAAUAUACCAGUUACUGUCAAAAUGACCCUGUACAGCCUUAUAAUGCAAAAAGCUUUAUACAAUACAAAUUUUUAUUAAUGUACACAAACCUUGACAGAAUGAUAUUUGAACAUAAUACAACAAUUUAAAAAAAAAAAGGAAGAAAGAAAAAAGUGCUGAGAACUUCAACUGAAUUACUGAAUGGAAAAAACACGCCAGCUUUUGUUAAAGAAUGCAUAGUGAAAACCAGUAUGAAAUUACCUUUAUGGUGGGGGGAAUUUAUCAGAACUGUUGGUCAUUAAUCAGUAGGGGGAACCUCUGGAAAUCAUUCCUGUCUUUAGUCUUGAACUGCAAACAAUUUAUUUAAUAUGCAAGAGCUCUGAUAAAUAGUGUAUUUUUUUUUCUUAAAAAAAUAAAAACCUCCUAACACA